UUAAUUGAUUAUGACGUACUUGUACUGAUUGAGAUUUUAACACGAAGUGAGUGGCGAACGGGUGAGUAACACGUGGGUAACCUGCCCAGAAGUAGGGGAUAACACCUGGAAACAGAUGCUAAUACCGUAUAACAGAGAAAACCGCAUGGUUUUCUUUUAAAAGAUGGCUCUGCUAUCACUUCUGGAUGGACCCGCGGCGUAUUAGCUAGUUGGUGAGGUAAAGGCUCACCAAGGCAGUGAUACGUAGCCGACCUGAGAGGGUAAUCGGCCACAUUGGGACUGAGACACGGCCCAGACUCCUACGGGAGGCAGCAGUAGGGAAUCUUCCACAAUGGACGCAAGUCUGAUGGAGCAACGCCGCGUGAGUGAAGAAGGGUUUCGGCUCGUAAAGCUCUGUUGUUAAAGAAGAACGUGGGUAAGAGUAACUGUUUACCCAGUGACGGUAUUUAACCAGAAAGCCACGGCUAACUACGUGCCAGCAGCCGCGGUAAUACGUAGGUGGCAAGCGUUAUCCGGAUUUAUUGGGCGUAAAGCGAGCGCAGGCGGUCUUUUAAGUCUAAUGUGAAAGCCUUCGGCUCAACCGAAGAAGUGCAUUGGAAACUGGGAGACUUGAGUGCAGAAGAGGACAGUGGAACUCCAUGUGUAGCGGUGAAAUGCGUAGAUAUAUGGAAGAACACCAGUGGCGAAGGCGGCUGUCUGGUCUGCAACUGACGCUGAGUCUCGAAAGCAUGGGUAGCGAACAGGAUUAGAUACCCUGGUAGUCCAUGCCGUAAACGAUGAUUACUAAGUGUUGGAGGGUUUCCGCCCUUCAGUGCUGCAGCUAACGCAUUAAGUAAUCCGCCUGGGGAGUACGACCGCAAGGUUGAAACUCAAAAGAAUUGACGGGGGCCCGCACAAGCGGUGGAGCAUGUGGUUUAAUUCGAAGCUACGCGAAGAACCUUACCAGGUCUUGACAUCUUCUGACAGUCUAAGAGAUUAGAGGUUCCCUUCGGGGACAGAAUGACAGGUGGUGCAUGGUUGUCGUCAGCUCGUGUCGUGAGAUGUUGGGUUAAGUCCCGCAACGAGCGCAACCCUUAUUACUAGUUGCCAGCAUUAAGUUGGGCACUCUAGUGAGACUGCCGGUGACAAACCGGAGGAAGGUGGGGACGACGUCAAAUCAUCAUGCCCCUUAUGACCUGGGCUACACACGUGCUACAAUGGAUGGUACAACGAGUCGCGAGACCGCGAGGUUAAGCUAAUCUCUUAAAACCAUUCUCAGUUCGGACUGUAGGCUGCAACUCGCCUACACGAAGUCGGAAUCGCUAGUAAUCGCGGAUCAGCAUGCCGCGGUGAAUACGUUCCCGGGCCUUGUACACACCGCCCGUCACACCAUGAGAGUUUGUAACACCCAAAGCCGGUGGGGUGCC
RNAcentral lists this ribosomal RNA (1406 nucleotides) under Pediococcus pentosaceus. Its description in RNAcentral is "bacterial SSU rRNA". It matches the Rfam family "Bacterial small subunit ribosomal RNA", at positions 62 to 1439 of the family's 1533-position model. Lineage: Bacteria; Bacillati; Bacillota; Bacilli; Lactobacillales; Lactobacillaceae. The record is from RNAcentral.